UACGUAGGGUGCAAGCGUUGCCCGGAUUUAUUGGGCGUAAAGCGCACGUAGGCGGCUUGGCAAGUCGGAUGUGAAAUCCCUCGGCUCAACCAAGGAAGUGCAUCCGAAACUGCUGAGCUUGAGUACUUAAGAGGAUCGCGGAAUUCCCGGUGUAGAGGUGAAAUUCGUAGAUAUCGGGAGGAACACCAGUGGCGAAGGCGGCGAUCUGGGAAGAUACUGACGCUGAGGUGCGAAAGCCAGGGGAGCAAACGGG
RNAcentral lists this ribosomal RNA (253 nucleotides) under uncultured bacterium. RNAcentral describes it as "partial 16S ribosomal RNA". It matches the Rfam family "Bacterial small subunit ribosomal RNA", at positions 524 to 776 of the family's 1533-position model. The record is from RNAcentral.